RNAcentral lists this ribosomal RNA (497 nucleotides) under Fulvia lineonotata. RNAcentral describes it as "partial 16S ribosomal RNA". It matches the Rfam family "Bacterial large subunit ribosomal RNA", at positions 1807 to 2611 of the family's 2925-position model. The record is from RNAcentral. Lineage: Eukaryota; Metazoa; Mollusca; Bivalvia; Cardiida; Cardiidae.
UCAAAAACAUCUUCCCUUGAUGAAAUAUAAGGGGUAGGCCCUGCGCGGUGUAAACAUUUAAUAGAGGUAUAUAAACGGAAUUUUAAAGUAGCGUGAUAAGUUGGCCUUUAAUUGGGGUCUGGCAUGAAUGGGUUGACGUUGGGAAGACUAUCUUAGAGAAAAAUGCUGAAAUUUUCUUUUUAGUGAAAAGUCUAAGUUGUAAUUAAAAGACGAGAAGACCCCGUCGAGCUUGGUGCUAAGUUAGAGGUUCUUACUUCUUUCUUUUAUGUUUUAUUGGGGCAAUUAAGGAGAAAAAAAACCUCUUUGAAAUUUAAUUGGGAUCCAUUAUUUAAUGAUAAUCAGUAAAAGUUACCGCGGGGAUAACAGCGCAAGAUUCCUCAAGAGCCCAUAUCUAAGGGAGUUAAUGCGACCUCGAUGUUGGAUUAAAAUAACGGUUUGGUUGUAGGGGCUAACCUAGUGGGACUGUUCGUCCUUUAAAAUUUUACAUGAUCUGAGUU